This 267-nucleotide unclassified non-coding RNA is filed under the name rhizosphere metagenome. RNAcentral's name for it is "partial ribosomal RNA internal transcribed spacer region". The record is from RNAcentral.
GUAGGUGAACCUGCGGAAGGAUCAUUAAAAAAGGUAUAUGCGCGAUUCAGCGUAUUACUCCUCUCCUCUCUGCCGCAAGGCUUUGAGUGCUUGAGUCCCUUAACCCUUUGUGAACUUUAAAUUUUUUGCUUCGGCAGCGCGCUCCUCUCGGGGGGGUUGGUAAGGCUGCCGAUAGCCCAUUUAAACUAUUUUAUUUUAAAUCAUGAAGUCUGAUUACUGUUAAAUUUAAACAAGUUAAAACUUUCAGCAACGGAUCUCUUGGUUCUC